This is a long non-coding RNA of Cervus elaphus (red deer), 494 nucleotides long. RefSeq lists it as uncharacterized. Lineage: Eukaryota; Metazoa; Chordata; Mammalia; Artiodactyla; Cervidae. The transcript is spliced from 3 exons. The record is from RefSeq and is a predicted model, not a curated record.
ACGAGACCAGCUAAAGCCCAACUCGGGCAACGGGACAAUUUUCUCUCUGACGAGCUUGUUCCUAAAUAUUAUACUUCAAGCCAAAGUACAGGUCUUCUUUAGAUGACUUGGGGGCCAUGAAAGAAUGGAAAAUACUCACAAGGAUCACCGACGGAAGGACUCAUUUCUCUUCAGCAGGUUUCAUCCUCUCCAGUGGUCAGACACGUUUCACGGUGGAGUUGAGGUAAUUCUGUCAGUCAAAGGAGGUGUUUGCAGGCCAGGAGAACCCCAGCAUAACACAGCCCACAGGCACAAGCAGCUGAACACUCCUCAGGAGGCCAAGCUCACGAUGUGUCUUAAAGAGGUUCCCAGAGGCCUCCUCAUCCGCCGCGUCGUACAGCCUAAGAGGCGCGCUGGAUAGUUUUCAGCCAACCCCGCACUGACAGAGCCAGAGAACAAUCCUCCCUUUGGGUCCUAUAGCAGUGUUGAUGGCCGCUGAGGACCGAGAUACGAUU